RNAcentral lists this ribosomal RNA (322 nucleotides) under uncultured eukaryote. RNAcentral's name for it is "partial 18S ribosomal RNA". It matches the Rfam family "Eukaryotic small subunit ribosomal RNA", at positions 1470 to 1796 of the family's 1831-position model. The record is from RNAcentral.
CCCUUAGAUGUCCUGGGCCGCACGCGCGCUACACUGACAUGUUCAACAAGUUUCUCCUAGUUCGACAGGACUGGGAAAUCUUUGAACGCAUGUCGUGAUAGGGAUAGAUCAUUGCAAUUAUUGAUCUUGAACGAGGAAUUCCUAGUAAACGCGAGUCAUCAGCCCGCAUUGAUUACGUCCCUGCCCUUUGUACACACCGCCCGUCGCACCUACCGAUUGAAUGUUUCGGUGAAGAUUCCGGAUAGGACUGACUUGAUUUAUUUCAUUUCUGACCUAAAAGCUAUCUAAACCUCAACAUUUAGAGGAAGGUGAAGUCGUAACA